CCAUUUUUUCCGUAAGUAGAGGGAAGGUUUAGGACAUACAGCGUAAGCUUUUUGAAGAAUACGAAAGUGCGCUUUUGGCAGAACCACUUGGAAGGCGAUCAUUUGUUUACAUAAAGCAUUUUUUUUUUUUUCGAAAAUAACCGAUCGUUUCGCAAGAUAAGACCCUUAUUCCUCGUCUGGUAUCGUUUAAAGCCCUUUUAAGCUGCACUGAAACUGUAAUUUUGACCUUCAACCGUUUGGAGGCCAUUGAUGUCCACUAUAAGGAGAAUAAUCCUGGAAUGUUUUCAUCAAAAACCUUAAUUUCUUUUCAACUGAAGAAAGAAGGACAUGGACAUCUUGGAUGACAUGGGGGUGAGUAAAUUAUCAGGAAAAUUUUAUUUGAAAGUGAACUAAUCCUUUAACCUUCAGAAAAGAUUACAUAAAAAUGACUAACUUUUUUCAUGUUUUAUUGUCUAUGGAACACAUACUCUCAUUCUCCCGCUCUUUAUCACAUACAAACGCACACACAUAUAGUGCAGACGCACAUAGACGUAAGUAUACACUGAAACUUUAUCAACAAAAUAAAUUCGCAAUUAAAAAGCACUGUGACAUUUCUCAGUUGUGAUGUAAUAACGUAAGUUCUAAAAUGACGAUUUGAAAUUAGCAAUGGAGGACAGGGAUGAGAUGUCCCAUACGGUAAAAAAAAAUAUAUUUUAUCUGGCCAAAAUAUAUUUUAAAUAUAUGGUAAAUAUAUGUUGUAAACAGUGAAGUUCAAUGAAAUGUAUUUUUGAAAUUGAAAAUAUAUUUUGUUUCAACCUUCAUAUACUUAAAAUAUAUUUAAAAAUGUAUUUCAGGGGCAAGAAAAUACAUUUAUAUUUAAAAAUAUAUUUCAGGGCGCAAGAAAAUACAUUUCCAAUCUUAUAGUCGACAAUGCAAAUGUGGGUGGAAGAAAGCCUUGUGAUCAAAACUACAUUCCAUUAAAUGUUAGAAGAAUUUUAAACACUUACAGAAAAAAACAUGAAUUUCCCCAUAUUUUCCACAUUGACCAAUUUUGUUCACACGAUCUUCUCAAGCCUUGAUCCCCAGCCUUUAUUGGAAACACGCUCACAAAUGUGUAUUUUAAUCUAUUAUUUAUUAAUUACUUUAUUUAUUCAUUUGUUUAUUUAUUUGUAAUUUAAUGUCAGUGUAAUAUAGCAUUUAAAUGCACAUCAAAUAAAAAUAAAUAGAUGAAUAACUUUGAUGUAAUUUGAAUUGGAAACCACUAGCAGCGCUCACGGACUUUUGGGGUACUGCGCAUGCGCGUCAUUUUGAGCUGUAACGGUCGUCAGUUAACCGGGAGUUCUCGGAGGAAAAGGUGCGGGUCCAAACCCAUCUGACAAGCUUCUUUGUCCACAUGCUGUCCGCCCCACCAGCCCAACGAUUGUGCUGGAGAGCCUCUGACCACAAGUCAUAGAAAAAGAGAAUGUCAUAAUCAUCUGGAACAGCAUAUGAGGGAGCAAAGAGCAAAACUGACAGUGGUGGAGAGAGAAGAAGUGCCCUUGACGAGGAAACCAUGGCAGUUAUAUAGAGCGGGGCUGGUGGCGUUGGCGUUGCGGCAAGUUGUGGCAGAGUUCGCGUGCAGUGCUAGCAACGAGGGCAGGUGCUUGAAUGCUGGCCGGUAGACAGAGCUGCAGCAUCGGUAGUGAGUAAACGUACAGCUGUGCGUCUAGUGUUUGUUCAACUUGGGCCAGUGAGGAUUCAUGUGGAACUGGGGAGGCUAGCUGCUUUCAUUCUGUGGUGUGUUUCAUGGUGUGCUGUGUGUGCUGAUACAACUUUGGUGUGAAUUGAAGUGGGUUUUGGCCUGCCUGCCUUGUUCCCAACUAUUUGUACCAUUGUGGAUGUUUUGUGAGAGAGAAUUUUAAUCAAUGCUGGUGAUUUUACAAUAAAGUGUAUUUUUUUGUAUUGAUACUCACAUCUCCCUAAUCUCUUCGCCUUCAAUUGGUGAAACUUAUCUGUGUGUCCUUUAUUGGGAGUUAUUUCCCUGGCCUCCCACCAGGGUGGUGUAGUCAGAUAAAUUUAAUUGUGAUUAACAUUUCCCUCCAUUUGGUACCGCCACACAAGCAUUUCUGUCAGGACCACUAUCAUCAAAUAUGCAAAUGGCCAGUGUAAAUGGCCAUUUUAUGGCUUAUAUGGUCACCAUGGAGAGGCCUCUAUGGUUAACUUCUAGUGUAGUGUUUCUCUACGGGGGCGGUACCACCCCCCAGGGGUGAUCAGAGAACAACUGUCACGGUCACUAUCUGUCUCACUGUCCCUGAACUCCAUUUCCCAGCAUUCCUCCUGAUCCACACCUGCACCCAGUCAGCUCAUCAUCUCAUGGAUUCCCUGCACCUGCACAUCAUCAUUAGCACUUCCUAUGAAGACUCACUUCUCCUGCACUCCCCGGUCUGGUCUUGUCAACUUCUAUGACAAGCUCCACGACCCUCUUACCUGUGAUCUACUUACUUGUUGUUCCUGCGUUCUCUCCUUGUUCUCCACCGCGCCAGAUCUCCACCGUCUCCACGCUCCGCUGUUCCCUCUGGAUCCCCUGGAAAAGACAAACAGACAAUCACUAUCAGAUAAGCCCCAUAUGACUUUCACAUUCCCUGCCUGCUUACCUGGACAUUCUGCUCGUCUCACACUUCCCCGCUGUUGUUCAAUAAACCUGCUGUUGUGUAUAUCACUUACCUCUGUGUCCCGUGUCUAUCUGCUGAAAACAAUGGGUCCAGGCA
This is a long non-coding RNA of Ctenopharyngodon idella (grass carp), 2726 nucleotides long. RefSeq lists it as uncharacterized. The transcript has 7 exons. The record is from RefSeq and is a predicted model, not a curated record. Lineage: Eukaryota; Metazoa; Chordata; Actinopteri; Cypriniformes; Xenocyprididae.